UGCCCCAUCAACUAGAUGAGUAGGCCCAUCAUCUGAAGGAAUAAAGAGAUCACAUGCCACAACCCAACCCACAAUCUAAGUGCAUAUUUCACAAUGUGGCCCAAGGACAACCAGGGUGGGUUCCACAGAUUUAGCUGGAUUCCUCUGGGGUCAGUGCUCCCUCCCAAGGCCAGCAGCUGUGGCCAUAGGAAUCCAAACUUGGCUGCUAGUCUUGGCAGGUUGCUCAAUGACUCUUAGCCGCACAAAUCAGGCCCCGAGCUGGGCCAGGCUUGAGGGAGGCCCCAAGGCCCCUACAGAAGAGGAGGAGCAGGAGGCAGCCAGUAAUUGCCUAGAGAAAAAAAUAAGUACCAGCCUGUAAAUUGCAAUGUAUAUCAGCGUGAAGCCUUGCUAGCUCUGCUCCCCACUUGCCAACCACUGCCACGCAGAAACUCCCUGCAUCCUCUCCAGACUUCCCCAGGCUGCCGCCUUAUUUUCAGAUGCCUCCUCCCUGCAGUGCCAGAAUUGACAGCUAUGAAUGAGAAACACAGGCUGGAGCUGGAUAAGGAAGGCAUCCCAUAAUGGAGACUGAGUAGAUGUGCAUGAGACCCAGAGGACUGAUUUUCACUCAACCGAUGGAAGGAAAUAAUUUACCUUUCGAACCCUAGAAUGAGCUUCACUGUUCUGUGGAUCUUGAUGAAGAAAACAAGGAAAGCUGGUAUGUCCUGGUACGUUUGGCUCCCUGCAAAAUAUUUCUUUCCUAGGCCCUCUUCAUUAGAAACCUGCCUCUGCCCUGAGUUGGAGAAGACAGGCCUUUUCCCCUGCCGUGCACAUUUUCCCACAGUCCUGAGACUGAACCUAUAGCAGGGCCAGAGAAAAUCCUCUCCAGUUUUCUCACUGUUUCCUCCCUGCCUGGUGGAUGGAAACCAGUUUGCUCAGGAGAAGUGGUUUCUACCGCAGGGAUAAGAGAUCCAGCCUCUAAGACAAGUCAAAUAAAAUUCAUGUGUUACACACACACAGACACACAGACACACACACACACACACACACACAGUCACACAGUUGCCCAGGGAGAGGGUCGCAGCUCUGCACCAGGAGGACAAUUUGUUUUAAGGUGCAUGCUGCCCUGGCUCUCAAUUUGUUGCUUUCAUUUUUAUAAUCACUGUUGUGUUCCAAUUGUUGUAAGUGGCACUGGGAAUGUUUGUUCUCAUGUAAUUGCUUGUUUCCUACUGAAAUUUCCAUGUCAGACCCCUUCAUUGUUCUCAGUAUCGCUCGCCUCCCAUUCUGUGGGGUUGGCAUGGAUUAUCCUAGUGGCGGCCGGCAGGGCAUGUGAGCACCAUUCCGCUCAGUCCUGACGCAGCUGAGGACGGCUGGGGGAAAUGGUCCCGGCUGCUGGGCCGAACACUGGGAUGAGAGAAUCUUGACAAGGGCCUGGCCUGCCUCCUGAUUCUGGACUGGGCCAAAUUCGGAGUGCAUUUUGCAUCCCCACCCCCAAGUAUUUCAGAGGAAAUGUGACCCUGUGUUUCUGAUUCAUGUGCACUUAACUCGUUAAAAUGUUGAUUUACAAAGGGUGGGUGGUGUCCAAAUAAACCUCUGGAGC
This 1576-nucleotide long non-coding RNA is filed under the name Homo sapiens (human). RNAcentral's name for it is "HSALNT0135977". Lineage: Eukaryota; Metazoa; Chordata; Mammalia; Primates; Hominidae. The record is from RNAcentral.